This 497-nucleotide ribosomal RNA is filed under the name uncultured bacterium. Its description in RNAcentral is "partial 16S ribosomal RNA". It matches the Rfam family "Bacterial small subunit ribosomal RNA", at positions 28 to 507 of the family's 1533-position model. The record is from RNAcentral.
GAUGAACGCUGGCGGCGUGCCUAAUACAUGCAAGUCGAGCGAACAGAUGAGGAGCUUGCUCCUCUGACGUUAGCGGCGGACGGGUGAGUAACACGUGGAUAACCUACCUAUAAGACUGGGAUAACUUCGGGAAACCGGAGCUAAUACCGGAUAAUAUAUUGAACCGCAUGGUUCAAUAGUGAAAGACGGUUUUGCUGUCACUUAUAGAUGGAUCCGCGCCGCAUUAGCUAGUUGGUAAGGUAACGGCUUACCAAGGCAACGAUGCGUAGCCGACCUGAGAGGGUGAUCGGCCACACUGGAACUGAGACACGGUCCAGACUCCUACGGGAGGCAGCAGUAGGGAAUCUUCCGCAAUGGGCGAAAGCUUGACGGAGCAACGCCGCGUGAGUGAUGAAGGUCUUCGGGUCGUAAAACUCUGUUAUUAGGGAAGAACAAAUGUGUAAGUAACUAUGCACGUCUUGACGGUACCUAAUCAGAAAGCCACGGCUAACUACGUG